GACUUCGGUCUGGUGGCGAGUGGCGAACGGGUGAGUAAUAUAUCGGAACAUACCCAGUAGUGGGGGAUAACUAUCCGAAAGGAUAGCUAAUACCGCAUACGAUCUGUGGAUGAAAGCAGGGGAUCUUCGGACCUUGUGCUAUUGGAAUGGCCGAUAUCUGAUUAGCUAGUUGGUAGGGUAAAAGCCUACCAAGGCGACGAUCAGUAGCUGGUCUGAGAGGACGACCAGCCACACUGGAACUGAGACACGGUCCAGACUCCUACGGGAGGCAGCAGUGGGGAAUUUUGGACAAUGGGGGCAACCCUGAUCCAGCAAUGCCGCGUGAGUGAAGAAGGCCCUCGGGUUGUAAAGCUCUUUUGUCAGGGAAGAAACGGAGUUCUCUAAUAUAGGAUUCUAAUGACGGUACCUGAAGAAUAAGCACCGGCUAACUACGUGCCAGCAGCCGCGGUAAUACGUAGGGUGCAAGCGUUAAUCGGAAUUACUGGGCGUAAAGCGUGCGCAGGCGGUUUUGUAAGUCUGAUGUGAAAUCCCCGGGCUCAACCUGGGAACUGCAUUGGAGACUGCAAGGCUAGAGUGUGUCAGAGGGGGGUAGAAUUCCACGUGUAGCAGUGAAAUGCGUAGAGAUGUGGAGGAAUACCGAUGGCGAAGG
This 649-nucleotide ribosomal RNA is filed under the name uncultured beta proteobacterium. Its description in RNAcentral is "bacterial SSU rRNA". It matches the Rfam family "Bacterial small subunit ribosomal RNA", at positions 76 to 721 of the family's 1533-position model. Lineage: Bacteria; Pseudomonadati; Pseudomonadota; Betaproteobacteria. The record is from RNAcentral.